CUUACGGGUGACAGCAGUGAGGAAUAUUGGUCAAUGGGCGGAAGCCUGAACCAGCCAAGUCGCGUGAGGGAUUAAGGCCCUGCGGGUCGUAAACCUCUUUUGCCGGGGAGCAGUGGUCCGGACGUGUCCGGGCCGGGAGAGUACCCGGAGAAAAAGCAUCGGCUAACUCCGUGCCAGCAGCCGCGGUAAUACGGGGGGUGCAAGCGUUGUCCGGAAUCAUUGGGCGUAAAGAGUUCGUAGGUGGCACGUUAAGUCUGGUGUUAAAGGCGGAAGCUCAACUUCCGUAGGGCACUGGAUACUGGCGAGCUUGAAUGCGGUAGAGGUAAAGGGAAUUCCUGGUGUAGCGGUGAAAUGCGUAGAUAUCAGGAGGAACAUCGGUGGCGUAAGCGCUUUACUGGGCCGUAAUUGACACUGAGGAACGAAAGCCGGGGUAGCAAAUGGGAUUAGAUACCCCUGUAGUC
RNAcentral lists this ribosomal RNA (461 nucleotides) under uncultured bacterium. RNAcentral describes it as "partial 16S ribosomal RNA". It matches the Rfam family "Bacterial small subunit ribosomal RNA", at positions 338 to 795 of the family's 1533-position model. The record is from RNAcentral.